GGCGGCGGACGGAGGGGGAGGGCCUGGCGGAGCCCUCGGAGCCAGCCUCGAAGGCGCGGGACGGAGCGCGCCCGCCUCGCCAGGGCGCCCGGCUGGGGGCGUCCCUGGCCCCGGCCCGCGGGCGCGCGGAGAUGGCCCGCUGGUUCCCCUCUCUUCCCCAGAGCCCCUCCGCACUACCCCUGGCUAAAGGCGGCCCGGCCGAGGCUCCGAGAGCAAUGGCUUGAGCUCCGACUCCAAGUGAUGAAUUCAUCUUAGUAGUUUUGGAACAGGCCUUCCUUAUGGUUUGUACUUCAAGACUAAGGACACAUAAAAGAGGGAAGUUGCAUAGUUCACCUGUAGCCAACUUGACAGCAUAAUUUUUAGGAGUCAAGAAUCGACAUUGGGUUAUUUCUUAAGAUUGAGCCUUGAAAGUCCACUUGGAUGUGACGCAGCUCUGUGCACACUUGCACAUGAAAAUGAUCUUCCAUCAAGGAGCUCUCCCUCUUCAGCUAAAUCAACAGCAGUCGUUUGAAGAAGAAGGGACCCCCUAUCUGACCAAACUCAGCCAGACUAAUCAAAUAAGUCUUUGUGAGCAAGGAGUAAAGCUGCACUAGGGUGGCCCUAUCACACCUUUCUUGAGCAGCUCCCUCUAAGAUUGCCACCUACAUGCAGGUCAUACCCUGUACGAAGGAUGGAUGGAAGAUUCUUGUGAACAGAUUAGGUUUAUUGUAAAAGAUGAAAUAUUUGACCAAAAUUGAAGUUAAUUUCAUGGAUAAAGUUCAAAAUAUUACUGUGGAUAUGAAUUAUGUUUGUAUGUAUUUAUAUAUGUAUGUAUAUAUAGUUAUGUGGUUACAUGGUUCUAUGUAUCAGAAAUUAGCACAACUUAAACUUAGUAAAUGCUGAAAAUAAAACUAUUUUGGAUAUUGGAA
Molecule: long non-coding RNA, 908 nt
Organism: Herpailurus yagouaroundi (jaguarundi)
Lineage: Eukaryota; Metazoa; Chordata; Mammalia; Carnivora; Felidae
Exons: 3
Source: RefSeq, a predicted model, not a curated record